GAAACGCAUGGGUCCAAUACCCCGUGUGUGGAUGACGGUACCAUCAGAAGAAGCACCGGCUAACUACGUGCCAGCAGCCGCGGUAAUACGUAGGGUGCGAGCGUUAAUCGGAAUUACUGGGCGUAAAGCGUGCGCAGGCGGUGAUGUAAGACAGAUGUGAAACUCCCCGGGGCUCAACCUGGGAACUGCGUUUGUGACUGCAUCACUCGAGUACGGCAGAGGGAGGUGGAAUUCCGCGUGUAGCAGUGAAAUGCGUAGAUAUGCGGAGGAACACCGAUGGCGAAGGCAGCCUCCUGGGCCAGUACUGACGCUCAUGCACGAAAGCGUGGGGAGCAAACAGGAUUAGAUACCCUGGUAGUCCACGCCCUAAACGAUGUCAACUAGUUGUUCGGUGAGGAGACUCAUUGAGUAACGCAGCUAACGCGUGAAGUUGACCGCCUGGGGAGUACGGCCGCAAGGUUAAAACUCAAAGGAAUUGACGGGG
This 484-nucleotide ribosomal RNA is filed under the name uncultured bacterium. RNAcentral describes it as "bacterial SSU rRNA". It matches the Rfam family "Bacterial small subunit ribosomal RNA", at positions 447 to 918 of the family's 1533-position model. The record is from RNAcentral.